GUUGGGUAGGGGAGCGUUCUGUAAGCCUGCGAAGGUGACCUGUGAGGGUUGCUGGAGGUAUCAGAAGUGCGAAUGCUGACAUAAGUAACGAUAAAGCGGGUGAAAAGCCCGCUCGCCGGAAGACCAAGGGUUCCUGUCCAACGUUAAUCGGGGCAGGGUGAGUCGACCCCUAAGGCGAGGCCGAAAGGCGUAGUCGAUGGGAAACGGGUUAAUAUUCCCGUACUUGGUGUUACUGCGAAGGGGGGACGGAGAAGGCUAUGUUGGCCGGGCGACGGUUGUCCCGGUUUAAGCGUGUAGGUGUGUGUUCCAGGUAAAUCCGGUUCACUUUAACACUGAGGCGUGAUGACGAGGCACUACGGUGCUGAAGCAACAAAUGCCCUGCUUCCAGGAAAAGCCUCUAAGCAUCAGGUAACAUCAAAUCGUACCCCAAACCGACACAGGUGGUCAGGUAGAGAAUACCAAGGCGCUUGAGAGAACUCGGGUGAAGGAACUAGGCAAAAUGGUGCCGUAACUUCGGGAGAAGGCACGCUGACACGUAGGUGAAGUGAUUUACUCACGGAGCUGAAGUCAGUCGAAGAUACCAGCUGGCUGCAACUGUUUAUUAAAAACACAGCACUGUGCAAACACGAAAGUGGACGUAUACGGUGUGACGCCUGCCCGGUGCCGGAAGGUUAAUUGAUGGGGUCAGCGCAAGCGAAGCUCCUGAUCGAAGCCCCGGUAAACGGCGGCCGUAACUAUAACGGUCCUAAGGUAGCGAAAUUCCUUGUCGGGUAAGUUCCGACCUGCACGAAUGGCGUAAUGAUGGCCAGGCUGUCUCCACCCGAGACUCAGUGAAAUUGAACUCGCUGUGAAGAUGCAGUGUACCCGCGGCAAGACGGAAAGACCCCGUGAACCUUUACUAUAGCUUGACACUGAACAUUGAGCCUUGAUGUGUAGGAUAGGUGGGAGGCUUUGAAGUGUGGACGCCAGUCUGCAUGGAGCCGACCUUGAAAUACCACCCUUUAAUGUUUGAUGUUCUAACGUGGACCCGUUACCCGGGUUGCGGACAGUGUCUGGUGGGUAGUUUGACUGGGGCGGUCUCCUCCUAAAGAGUAACGGAGGAGCACGAAGGUUGGCUAAUCCUGGUCGGACAUCAGGAGGUUAGUGCAAUGGCAUAAGCCAGCUUGACUGCGAGCGUGACGGCGCGAGCAGGUGCGAAAGCAGGUCAUAGUGAUCCGGUGGUUCUGAAUGGAAGGGCCAUCGCUCAACGGAUAAAAGGUACUCCGGGGAUAACAGGCUGAUACCGCCCAAGAGUUCAUAUCGACGGCGGUGUUUGGCACCUCGAUGUCGGCUCAUCACAUCCUGGGGCUGAAGUAGGUCCCAAGGGUAUGGCUGUUCGCCAUUUAAAGUGGUACGCGAGCUGGGUUUAGAACGUCGUGAGACAGUUCGGUCCCUAUCUGCCGUGGGCGCUGGAGAACUGAGGGGGGCUGCUCCUAGUACGAGAGGACCGGAGUGGACGCAUCACUGGUGUUCGGGUUGUCAUGCCAAUGGCACUGCCCGGUAGCUAAAUGCGGAAGAGAUAAGUGCUGAAAGCAUCUAAGCACGAAACUUGCCCCGAGAUGAGUUCU
RNAcentral lists this ribosomal RNA (1607 nucleotides) under Salmonella enterica subsp. enterica serovar Heidelberg. Its description in RNAcentral is "bacterial LSU rRNA". It matches the Rfam family "Bacterial large subunit ribosomal RNA", at positions 1223 to 2812 of the family's 2925-position model. Lineage: Bacteria; Pseudomonadati; Pseudomonadota; Gammaproteobacteria; Enterobacterales; Enterobacteriaceae. The record is from RNAcentral.